Molecule: long non-coding RNA, 531 nt
Organism: Oncorhynchus kisutch (coho salmon)
Lineage: Eukaryota; Metazoa; Chordata; Actinopteri; Salmoniformes; Salmonidae
Exons: 4
Source: RefSeq, a predicted model, not a curated record
UGAAAAUAACGUUUAAAUACCUGAAGGGAGAGGCAGAUGACGUAUUUAAUUCCUUUUUUUCCCUAGUCCUGCCUGCUCCCUCGGCAGCCACCAGUCUACUUGUCGUCUGUGCCCACUCUGUUGACUUCUCCCAUCACUCGGGUGUGUUCAACAAUUCCUUUCAAGGGUAUGAAAAGGAGGUCCUUAGCCCUGGUGAUGGAGGCUGCUGCAGCUACAGGACUACCUGUGUCUUUAGUUAAGAUGAAUGUGGUGAAAAAGGUUGGUUCCCUUAUUGCUAUUUUGAGGAGAGGACCGUAAUUCGAUGUCUGGGGCAUGAGUUAACCAUCAAGCGACCGUCAUCUUAUGGAAAGAAACAGCUGGAAGACAUACUGGCAAAGGCAGGGGACUUCAAAUUCGAAAUUAUUUUUUCUCAUUCUGUCUUGUUUUUGUUCAAUUUUCCAAUGAAAUGUAUACUUGACAUAUACUUGAAAUGUAUACUUGACAUAUACUUGAAAUGUAUACUUGAAAUCCAUAAAAAAUCCUACAAUGUGA